AAUGGGCGGGAGCCUGAACCAGCCAAGUCGCGUGAAGGAAGAAGGAUCUAUGGUUCGUAAACUUCUUUUGCAGGGGAAUAAAGUGCAGGACGUGUCCUGUUUUGUAUGUACCCUGAGAAUAAGGAUCGGCUAACUCCGUGCCAGCAGCCGCGGUAAUACGGAGGAUCCGAGCGUUAUCCGGANUUNUUGGGUUUAAAGGGNGCGUAGGCGGGCGCCUAAGUCAGAGGUGAAAUGCCGCGGCUCAACCGUGGAACUGCCGUUGAAACUGGGCGCCUUGGAUGCGGUCGAGGCCGGCGGAAUGCGUGGUGUAGCGGUGAAAUGCUUAGAUAUCACGCAGAACGCCAAUUGCGAAGGCAGCUGGCCGGGCCGCAAUCGACGCUGAGGCACGAAAGCGUGGGGAUCAAA
Molecule: ribosomal RNA, 405 nt
Filed under: uncultured bacterium
Lineage: Bacteria
Description: bacterial SSU rRNA
Rfam family: Bacterial small subunit ribosomal RNA
Source: RNAcentral